CCUACGGGAGGCAGCAGUGGGGAAUCUUGCACAAUGGAGGAAACUCUGAUGCAGCGAUGCCGCGUGAGUGAAGAAGGCCUUUGGGUUGUAAAGCUCUUUUGUAGGGGAAGAUAAUGACUGUACCCUAAGAAUAAGGUCCGGCUAACUUCGUGCCAGCAGCCGCGGUAAUACGAAGGGACCUAGCGUAGUUCGGAAUUACUGGGCGUAAAGCGCGCGUAGGCCGUUGAGUUAGUUAAUUGUGAAAUCCCAAAGCUUAACUUUGGAACUGCAAUUAAAACUGCUCGACUAGAGUUUGAUAGAGGAAAGCGGAAUACAUAGUGUAGAGGUGAAAUUCGUAGAUAUUAUGUAGAACACCAGUUGCGAAGGCGGCUUUCUGGAUCAACACUGACGCUGAGGCGCGAAAGUAUGGGUAGCAAAGAGGAUUAGAUACCCUCGUAGUCCAUACCAUAAACGAUGAUUGCUAGAUGUUGGAAAUUUAUUUUCAGUAUCGCAGCUAACGCAUUAAGCAAUCCGCCUGGGGAGUACGACCGCAAGGUUAAACUCAAAGGAAUUAGACGCUGAGACGNGCGAGACGACACGAGGAGAG
Molecule: ribosomal RNA, 586 nt
Filed under: uncultured bacterium
Lineage: Bacteria
Description: bacterial SSU rRNA
Rfam family: Bacterial small subunit ribosomal RNA
Source: RNAcentral